Molecule: non-coding RNA, 136 nt
Organism: Ceratotherium simum simum (southern white rhinoceros)
Lineage: Eukaryota; Metazoa; Chordata; Mammalia; Perissodactyla; Rhinocerotidae
Source: RefSeq, a predicted model, not a curated record
UCCUAGUAUUUAUCAAAAAUAUAUAAAAACUUCUUCACAGCAAAGGAAACCAUCUACAAAACGAAAAGACAAUCUAACAACUGGGAGAAGAUAUUUGCAAACCAUACAUCUGAUAAAGGGUUAAUCUCAAAAAUAU